CGACGUGGGUAACCUGCCCUUUUGUGGGGAACAACUUCGAGAAAUCGGAGCUAAUACCGCAUAAUAAUAGAGGAUCGCAUGAUUCUUUAAGGAAAGAUGGCCUCUGAAGAUGCUAUCGCAAAAGGAUGGACCCGCGUCUGAUUAGCUAGUUGGAAGGGUAACGGCCUACCAAGGCAAUGAUCAGUAGCCGGCCUGAGAGGGUGAACGGCCGCAUUGGGACUGAGACACGGCCCAAACUCCUACGGGAGGCAGCAG
Molecule: ribosomal RNA, 255 nt
Filed under: uncultured bacterium
Lineage: Bacteria
Description: partial 16S ribosomal RNA
Rfam family: Bacterial small subunit ribosomal RNA
Source: RNAcentral